Molecule: ribosomal RNA, 253 nt
Filed under: uncultured bacterium
Lineage: Bacteria
Description: partial 16S ribosomal RNA
Rfam family: Bacterial small subunit ribosomal RNA
Source: RNAcentral
GACGAACCGUGCGAGCGUUGUUCGGAAUCACUGGGCUUAAAGGGCGCGUAGGCGGGCUGUCCAGUCUGGGGUGAAAUCCCGCGGCUCAACCGUGGAACUGCCUCAGAUACUGACGGCCUCGAGGGAGAUAGGGGCAUGCGGAACUGUAGGUGGAGCGGUGAAAUGCGUUGAUAUCUACAGGAACUCCGGUGGCGAAGGCGGCGUGCUGGAUCUCUUCUGACGCUGAGGCGCGAAAGCUAGGGGAGCAAACGGG